ACUUAAGUAGUUUAAACUAAAAAUUUUGAUUUGUGGUAUCAAAGAUAUAAUAAUUUAUUUUAAGUU
RNAcentral lists this transfer RNA (66 nucleotides) under Agetocera mirabilis. RNAcentral's name for it is "tRNA-His". Lineage: Eukaryota; Metazoa; Arthropoda; Insecta; Coleoptera; Chrysomelidae. The record is from RNAcentral.